Molecule: ribosomal RNA, 253 nt
Filed under: uncultured bacterium
Lineage: Bacteria
Description: partial 16S ribosomal RNA
Rfam family: Bacterial small subunit ribosomal RNA
Source: RNAcentral
CACGUAGGGGGCAAGCGUUGUCCGGAUUUACUGGGUGUAAAGGGAGCGUAGGUAGUAUGGUAAGUCAGAUGUGAAAGCCCAGGGCUCAACCCUGGGACUGCAUUUGAAACUACCAAACUAGAGUGCAGGAGAGGUAAGUGGAAUUCCUAGUGUAGCGGUGAAAUGCGUAGAUAUUAGGAGGAACACCAGUGGCGAAGGCGGCUUACUGGACUGUAACUGACACUGAGGCUCGAAAGCGUGGGGAGCAAACAGG